Molecule: non-coding RNA, 146 nt
Filed under: pig gut metagenome
Description: SAM riboswitch (S box leader)
Rfam family: SAM riboswitch aptamer (S box leader)
About the family: The SAM riboswitch is found upstream of a number of genes which code for proteins involved in methionine or cysteine biosynthesis in Gram-positive bacteria. The SAM riboswitch acts at the level of transcription termination control.
Source: RNAcentral
CCUUAUCAAGAGUGGCUGAGGGAAUAGGCCCGAAGACGCCCGGCAACCUAGGUGCUCCUGCGCGCCCCAUGAGUGUGACGAAGGAAGCAGAAAAGGUGCUAAAUCCUACAGGAUUUUCCGAAGGGAAACUUUCCUGAAAGAUGAGG